GACGAACGCUGGCGGCGUGCCUAAUACAUGCAAGUAGAACGCUGAAGGAGGAGCUUGCUUCUCUGGAUGAGUUGCGAACGGGUGAGUAACGCGUAGGUAACCUGCCUGGUAGCGGGGGAUAACUAUUGGAAACGAUAGCUAAUACCGCAUAAGAGUAGAUGUCGCAUGACAUUUGCUUAAAAGGUGCAAUUGCAUCACUACCAGAUGGACCUGCGUUGUAUUAGCUAGUUGGUGAGGUAACGGCUCACCAAGGCAACGAUACAUAGCCGACCUGAGAGGGGGAUCGGCCACACUGGGACUGAGACACGGCCCAGACUCCUACGGGAGGCAGCAGUAGGGAAUCUUCGGCAAGGGACGGAAGUCUGACCGAGAAACGCGGCGUGAGUGAAGAAGGUUUUCGGAUCGUAAAGCUCUGUUGUAAGAGAAGAACGAGUGUGAGAGUGGAAAGUUCACACUGUGACGGUAUCUUACCAGAAAGGGACGGCUAACUACGUG
Molecule: ribosomal RNA, 495 nt
Filed under: uncultured bacterium
Lineage: Bacteria
Description: partial 16S ribosomal RNA
Rfam family: Bacterial small subunit ribosomal RNA
Source: RNAcentral